AAGCAGUCUGGCCUCCCAAGACAGCCCUCAUUGAGCUGUUGAGGUUAACGACAGCACACGCGGAGCCGAGGCCAUCCUCUUGAGUGUUGGCCCAACACAACACUCAGUCUGGUGCCAAGGUUAAGAGUGAUGACUGCGUGAGUGGCGCUGCUUCCCUCAGUGCCUCGGUGGUUAGUGACGCAGAGGACCUGAGGGACACCAUUUUGUAGGAACAAAUAUUGUGUCUGGCUCUCCUCGGCUUGUUGCGGGUGUCGUCACGCUGCCUCACUGCUACACGCAAACCCUCAGUGAGCCAAGGCGCUGCAGGUCUGCUUGCUGCCUUAGUUACUAAAGGAGCACACGCAUCCAGACAACUCAUAAAAUUAGUAUUAAAAUAUCAAGUUGUAGAUCAGCGUGGCCUGUGGUCAGUAUUUGAUCAAAGUGAUGGGGUUCUGGCAGGAGUAGCUCACAAAGCGUCCUUGUUAUAUUUACCAAGGUGACCAAAAGAUUUUAGUUCAUGCUCUCUCCGUCUUCUUGAUAUUUAUUGUAAUGCCAAUUAGGUCAUGAUCAGGUGCUGGCCCGGGAACAACAGAGGUGGCCAAAACACUUUCUGGUUUAUUAGUGAUGAUCACAUCCAGCACUGUGGCUGUGCUUGACGUCAUCCUAGUGGGCUCAUUUAUCAUUGGUGUGAGUCUGAUAUUUCUGAUAAUACCAUCAAUUUUGUUUUUCUUAGAAAAUAAACCAUCAUUAAAAUCA
Scylla paramamosain (green mud crab) is the source of this 735-nucleotide long non-coding RNA. RefSeq lists it as uncharacterized. The record is from RefSeq and is a predicted model, not a curated record. Lineage: Eukaryota; Metazoa; Arthropoda; Malacostraca; Decapoda; Portunidae. The transcript is spliced from 2 exons.